RNAcentral lists this ribosomal RNA (481 nucleotides) under uncultured bacterium. Its description in RNAcentral is "partial 16S ribosomal RNA". It matches the Rfam family "Bacterial small subunit ribosomal RNA", at positions 31 to 507 of the family's 1533-position model. The record is from RNAcentral.
GAACGCUGGCGGCAGGCCUAACACAUGCAAGUCGAGCGGAUGGAGGGAGCUUGCUCCUGGAUUCAGCGGCGGACGGGUGAGUAAUGCCUAGGAAUCUGCCUGGUAGUGGGGGAUAACGUCCGGAAACGGGCGCUAAUACCGCAUACGUCCUGAGGGAGAAAGUGGGGGAUCUUCGGACCUCACGCUAUCAGAUGAGCCUAGGUCGGAUUAGCUAGUUGGUGGGGUAAAGGCCUACCAAGGCGACGAUCCGUAACUGGUCUGAGAGGAUGAUCAGUCACACUGGAACUGAGACACGGUCCAGACUCCUACGGGAGGCAGCAGUGGGGAAUAUUGGACAAUGGGCGAAAGCCUGAUCCAGCCAUGCCGCGUGUGUGAAGAAGGUCUUCGGAUUGUAAAGCACUUUAAGUUGGGAGGAAGGGCAGUAAGUUAAUACCUUGCUGUUUUGACGUUACCAACAGAAUAAGCACCGGCUAACUUCGUG